Hibiscus syriacus is the source of this 140-nucleotide long non-coding RNA. RefSeq lists it as uncharacterized. NCBI's taxonomy places the organism in Eukaryota, Viridiplantae, Streptophyta, Magnoliopsida, Malvales, Malvaceae. The transcript has 3 exons. The record is from RefSeq and is a predicted model, not a curated record.
AGAGAUAUACACUAAAAACCAAGGGAAAAAACAAACAGAGGGUGAAAAUGGCAGAGAAAGGAACAAGAUCAAAGCUUUCAGCUCCAUCACGUCCAUCAAUAACUGUACCGUCGAAACCUGCCAUGGAUGGCUUAUUUUCA